GCACUUUCUUUUCUUGAGAUACUUUUUUUCCCCUGCACUGUGGGCAUUUAUCCUUCUCACUGAUGACCUCACCUGAGCCUCUGCAUUCCGGACAGAUAUGUUGCAUCUGCUGAAUCAUGCCCAGGCCAAUCUGUCGUGUUGUAAUUUUCAUUCCUGAACCUUGGCAUCCAUAACACAUCCCAGAAGCUCCACUCUUUGAGCCCUUCCCUUUACAUUUAGUACACAUAAAAUUUCUAGAAAGAGAGAGUUUCUUGGUUGUUCCAUUAUAUAAGUCCUCUAAGGUAACCUUCAGAGUUUGUACUACAUCAUCACCUCGCUUCUGCCUUCUUCCUCUUGAGCUGCCUCCCCCACCAAAAGAUCUGCCAAAAAGUGAUUCAAAUAUAUCAAAUGGGUUAUGAACACCACUCCCACCUCCUCCUCCCAUUCCCUCUUUAAGUGCAUCUUCACCAUAUUGGUCAUAAAUAUCUCUCUUCUCUGGAUCACUAAGAACUUCAUAAGCAUGAGCCAGCUCCUUGAACUUCUCAGGAUCUCCACCUUUGUCAGGAUGAUUCUUUAUGGCAGCUUUUUUAUAAGCCUUCUUCAUUUCAUCUUGACUAGCAUUCUUUGAGACACCAAGAAUCUCAUAAUACUUGGUGUUAUCACUCCUUCCACCAUACCCAAACAUGAUUCAGUCACUUAAGCA
This 682-nucleotide unclassified non-coding RNA is filed under the name Hevea brasiliensis (rubber tree). The record is from RNAcentral. Lineage: Eukaryota; Viridiplantae; Streptophyta; Magnoliopsida; Malpighiales; Euphorbiaceae.